UGCGGGGUAGCUCAGACUGGCAGAGCAGGGGGUUCAUAAUCCUCAUGUCGCGGGUUCAAAUCCCGCCCCCGCUACCA
RNAcentral lists this transfer RNA (77 nucleotides) under Candidatus Bathyarchaeota archaeon. RNAcentral's name for it is "tRNA-Met". It matches the Rfam family "tRNA". From Rfam's summary of the family: Transfer RNA (tRNA) molecules are approximately 80 nucleotides in length. Their secondary structure includes four short double-helical elements and three loops (D, anti-codon, and T loops). Further hydrogen bonds mediate the characteristic L-shaped molecular structure. tRNAs have two regions of fundamental functional importance: the anti-codon, which is responsible for specific mRNA codon recognition, and the 3' end, to which the tRNAs corresponding amino acid is attached (by aminoacyl-tRNA synthetases). tRNAs cope with the degeneracy of the genetic code in two manners: having more than one tRNA (with a specific anti-codon) for a particular amino acid; and 'wobble' base-pairing, i.e. permitting non-standard base-pairing at the 3rd anti-codon position. The record is from RNAcentral. Lineage: Archaea; Thermoproteati; Candidatus Bathyarchaeota.